AUUGAACGCUGGCGGCAGGCUUAACACAUGCAAGUCGAGCGGGGUGAUGGUGCUUGCACUAUCACUUAGCGGCGGACGGGUGAGUAAUGCUUAGGAAUCUGCCUAUUAGUGGGGGACAACAUCUCGAAAGGGAUGCUAAUACCGCAUACGUCCUACGGGAGAAAGCAGGGGAUCACUUGUGACCUUGCGCUAAUAGAUGAGCCUAAGUCGGAUUAGCUAGUUGGUGGGGUAAAGGCCUACCAAGGCGACGAUCUGUAGCGGGUCUGAGAGGAUGAUCCGCCACACUGGGACUGAGACACGGCCCAGACUCCUACGGGAGGCAGCAGUGGGGAAUAUUGGACAAUGGGGGAAACCCUGAUCCAGCCAUGCCGCGUGUGUGAAGAAGGCCUUAUGGUUGUAAAGCACUUUAAGCGAGGAGGAGGCUCUUUUGGUUAAUACCCAGAAUGAGUGGACGUUACUCGCAGAAUAAGCACCGGCUAACUCUGUGCCAGCAGCCGCCGCGG
RNAcentral lists this ribosomal RNA (503 nucleotides) under uncultured bacterium. RNAcentral describes it as "partial 16S ribosomal RNA". It matches the Rfam family "Bacterial small subunit ribosomal RNA", at positions 30 to 523 of the family's 1533-position model. The record is from RNAcentral.